GAUGAACGCUGGCGGCGUGCCUAAUACAUGCAAGUCGAGCGAACGGACGAGAAGCUUGCUUUUCUGAUGUUAGCGGCGGACGGGUGAGUAACACGUGGAUAACCUACCUAUAAGACUGGUAUAACUUCGGGAAACCGGAGCUUAUCCCGGAUAAUCUUUUGAACCGCAUGGUUCAAUAGUGAAAUUCGGUCUUGCUGUCUCUUCUAGCUGCUUCUGCGCUGCAUUAGCUAGUUGGUAAGGUAACUGCUUACCACGGCAACGAUGCAUAGCCGACCGGAGAGGGGGAUAGGCGACAUGGGAACGGGAACAGGGACAAGAGGCCUACGGGAGGCAGCAGUAGGGAAUGUUACGCAAUGGGGGAAAGCAUGACGGAGCAAGGGGGCGUGAGAGAUGAAGGUCUUGGGAUCGGAAAACUCGGUUAGGAGGGAAGAACAGAUGUGGAAGGAACUGAGGAGAGCGUGACGGUAACGAAUAAGAAAGCAACGGCUAACUACGUG
RNAcentral lists this ribosomal RNA (497 nucleotides) under uncultured bacterium. RNAcentral's name for it is "partial 16S ribosomal RNA". It matches the Rfam family "Bacterial small subunit ribosomal RNA", at positions 28 to 507 of the family's 1533-position model. The record is from RNAcentral.